CCCCAUUUUAUUCCUGCCCUAAAGUUAGUGGGCUGCCCCUAAGUGGGCCUAAGGGUUGGCCCAGUGUAUAUAAACCCUGCUACGUUGCCCUAAUGGGAGGUCUGUGUUUUCCCUUUCUGAACCAGCCGUCGCUCCGCCCCUUCGUACCGCUAGAGCUCUGCUAGGGUUGCCCUGAGGUCCUCCUCGAGCUAGCUCAAAGCUCAAGUCCUACUUCCUGCACGACUUCCUGAUCCGUCUCCCGAACUGCUGUGCUUCGGGGCCCAAUGUCGAGGUCUGUGCGAACCCUUUUCCAGAUGGGCGAGGUCCUCGUGGUCAGCAAGGGAGUGGUGAUCCAGCAGCUUAGCCAUCCGGGCUAGAAUUCGAACGUCUUUCUUUCAUGUUUCUUUAGGGCUAUGGCCCCUGUAUUUGUUGUUACCGGAUUUGUAAACUCUUAGUCAAACUGUUUAUCCUGCUUUUGUUGGCAUCGUGGUGUGCCUGGUUUUGUAGGGGUG
Molecule: long non-coding RNA, 491 nt
Organism: Vigna unguiculata (cowpea)
Lineage: Eukaryota; Viridiplantae; Streptophyta; Magnoliopsida; Fabales; Fabaceae
Source: RefSeq, a predicted model, not a curated record